RNAcentral lists this microRNA precursor (98 nucleotides) under Myotis lucifugus (little brown bat). Its description in RNAcentral is "mir-544 microRNA precursor family". It matches the Rfam family "mir-544 microRNA precursor family". Lineage: Eukaryota; Metazoa; Chordata; Mammalia; Chiroptera; Vespertilionidae. The record is from Rfam by way of RNAcentral.
AUCACCUGGGGAUCUUGUUACAAUGCAGAUUCUGAUCCCAUAGGUCUGGAGAGGAGCCUUAGAAUCUGCAUUUCUAACAAGCUACCAGGUGAUGUUGA